AGAGCCACAACAUUUUGAUGCAGCUCAAGCUCGUGGAUGCCAUCAAAGAAGCAGGAAACGUGAAGGUACUUGAAUAUUCAUGAUAAUUCAAUUUGUACUCUAAGCUCUUAAUGGCUAUCUCUGCAUAUUUUUUUCUACUCCUUCGGGCUAUCCUGCAUGCAAGUGAUGCCGUUCAAAGUUAGCUAUUAGUUUUUAACAUGGAGGUGUUUCGUUGUUGUUGUUAAAACUGGUAGCUAGCAAGAAGCACUCUGGAAUACUGAAUAAUGGCUCCACAUAAUUUAACUCUUUCCUGAGAUAACAUUAGAAACAAUAGCAUAUGACCUAGUUAAUUACCUUCUGGCGAUGAUCUAAUCGCUUAAAAUAAGAUAGCGGUGGAACUCCACCAUUUAAAGCGAAACAAAGCAUGAUAUGCCUGAUCACUUUAGUCGUUGUAUUAUAAUCUAUUUGCUUAUGGCAAAGGCCCAAAUUAAAGGCUUGUGCAAUAUACUUUCCACUUUAAAACAAUAUCCUAAUUAAGUUCAUUUAAGUGACUACUUCUACCCAUUGGCCACUUUAGGAUAUUAAUUAAUAAUGACGAUCAAAUUGUAGGUUUCUUAAGGAUUUCUAACCAAAAUAACAAUAAGUUAAUGUAAGAUAACAUAAAAAAUCAUUGUCACGCAUGCUUAAUUUUGUAUUAUCUUACUAGGGUACUAAUUAAGAAGUCUAAACAUACUUCUAUUGAGUUGUGGCAGCGUUUCUUGCCUUCGGAAUUUGGUAUGGACCCAGCAAGAAUGGAGCAUGCACUAGCACCAGGAAGAGAAACAUUUGAUCAGAAAAUGAUAGUAAGAAAGGCAAUUGAGGAUGCUAAGAUCCCCUUCACUUAUGUAUCCGCUAGCUGCUUUGCGGG
This 886-nucleotide long non-coding RNA is filed under the name Populus trichocarpa (black cottonwood). RNAcentral's name for it is "long non-coding RNA (PTRI_LNC000134)". Lineage: Eukaryota; Viridiplantae; Streptophyta; Magnoliopsida; Malpighiales; Salicaceae. The record is from RNAcentral.